Molecule: ribosomal RNA, 460 nt
Filed under: uncultured bacterium
Lineage: Bacteria
Description: partial 16S ribosomal RNA
Rfam family: Bacterial small subunit ribosomal RNA
Source: RNAcentral
CCUACGGGAGGCAGCAGUGAGGAAUAUUGGUCAAUGGGCGGGAGCCUGAACCAGCCAAGUCGCGUGAGGGAAGACGGUCCUAUGGAUUGUAAACCUCUUUAGGCGGGGAGCAAUGCCGGGCACGCGUGCCCGGAGGGAGAGUACCCGCAGAAUAAGCAUCGGCGAACCCCGUGCCAGCAGCCUCGGUAAGACGGAGGAGGCGGGCGUUAUCCGGAUUUAUUGGGUUUAAAGGGUGCGUAGGCGGAUUUUUAAGUCAGCGGUAAAAUUUCGGGGCUCAACCCGGGGCGGCCGUUGAAACUGGGGGUCUUGAGUGGGGGAGAGGUAUGCGGAAUGCGUGGUGUAGCGGUGAAAUGAGUAGAUAUCACGCAGAACUCCGAUUGCGAAGGCAGCAUACCGGCGCCCGACUGACGCUGAGGCACGAAAGCGUGGGGAUCGAACAGGAUUAGAUACCCUUGUAGUC